AGAGUUUGAUCAUGGCUCAGGACGAACGCUGGCGGCGUGCCUAAUACAUGCAAGUCAACUGAAGCAGCUGUAGCAAUACGGCUGUGGAGGUGGCGCACGGGUGAGUAACACGUAGGUAAUCUGCCUUCAGGUCUGACACAACUCCGAGAAAUCGGAGCUAAUAUCAGAUUAUGCAGCGGCUUGGCAUCAAGACAGUUGUUAAAGCGCCGAGCAAUCGGUUAGCGCCUGAAGAUGAGCCUGCGCCCCAUUAGGUAGUUGGCGGAGUAAAAGCCCACCAAGCCUGCGAUGGGUAGCUGGUCUGAGAGGAUGAUCAGCCACACUGGAACUGAGAUACGGUCCAGACUCCUACGGGAGGCAGCAGUAAGGAAUAUUGCUCAAUGGCCGAAAGGCUGAAGCAGCAACGCCGCGUGAGGGAUGAAGACCUUAUGGUUGUAAACCUCUGUAGAAGGGGAGAAAUUUCCGGCUCUGCCGGAUUUGAUAGUACCCUUAAAGUAAGCCCCGGCUAACUACGUGCCAGCAGCCGCGGUAAUACGUAGGGGGCAAGCGUUGUCCGGAUUUACUGGGUGUAAAGGGUGCUCAGGUGGUUGUGCAAGUCAGAGGUGAAAUCCUGGAGCUUAACUCCGGAACUGCCUUUGAUACUGCGCAGCUUGUGUACGGAAGAGGCUGAUGGAAUUCCUGGUGUAGCAGUGAAAUGCGUAGAUAUCAGGAAGAACACCAGUGGCGAAGGCGGUCAGCUGGUCCGUUACAGACACUAAAGCACGAAAGCGUG
RNAcentral lists this ribosomal RNA (769 nucleotides) under uncultured bacterium. RNAcentral describes it as "bacterial SSU rRNA". It matches the Rfam family "Bacterial small subunit ribosomal RNA", at positions 8 to 763 of the family's 1533-position model. The record is from RNAcentral.